Non-coding RNA from Podarcis lilfordi (Lilford's wall lizard), 73 nucleotides. NCBI's taxonomy places the organism in Eukaryota, Metazoa, Chordata, Lepidosauria, Squamata, Lacertidae. The record is from the annotation of a GenBank genome assembly.
CUAUGGUUUCAGUGGUAUGGCAUCUGCUUUGCAUGCAGAAGGUCCCAGGUUCAAUUUCUGGCAUUGGGAAAGA